RNA transcript from Carlito syrichta (Philippine tarsier), 1224 nucleotides. It is a transcript of the gene named mitochondrial import receptor subunit TOM20 homolog pseudogene, with no coding region annotated. NCBI's taxonomy places the organism in Eukaryota, Metazoa, Chordata, Mammalia, Primates, Tarsiidae. The record is from RefSeq and is a predicted model, not a curated record. The transcript is spliced from 4 exons.
AUGAGGCUGGCAGCCACUAGAGGCCCUCCAAGUCCAGAACUCUACCAUGGACCUGGAAUGCUAACCAGCUCUAAGCAGUGUACUCAGCCCAGAGGCUCCAACAGCAUGUGGAGGGAGGAGACAAUUUUGUACAUGCUUGAUCCUUUUAAGGAUCCAAAUGACCUGCUGAACAUUCCAAUGCCUCGGCCUUUCCGCGUCUCUGGGCCGUGGGCGUCGGGUCUGAGCGGCGCCCUCAGCUCUGAGGGUUCGCGGCCAGCCGCUCCUUUGCGGUCUCCGCCGCCGCCGUCCGCCCUCAGCUCCCGAGAAAAGGUGGUGGGCCGGAACAGCGCCAUCGCCGCCGGCGUGUGCGGGGCCCUUUUCAUCGGGUACUGCAUUUACUUCGACCGCAAGCGACGGAGUGACCCCAACUUCAAGAACAGGCUCCGUGAACGGAGAAAGAGACAGAAGCUUGCCAAGGAGAGAGCCGGGCUUUCCAAGUUACCUGAUCUUAAAGAUGCUGAAGCUGUUCAGAAAUUCUUCCUUGAAGAAAUACAGCUGGGUGAAGAGUUACUAGCUCAAGGUGAAUAUGAGAAGGGUGUAGACCAUCUAACAAAUGCAAAUGCUGUCUGUGGACAGCCACAGCAGUUACUGCAGGUGUUACAGCAAACUCUCCCACCUCCAGUGUUCCAGAUGCUUCUGACUAAGCUCCCAACAAUUAGUCAGAGAAUUGUAAGUGCUCAGAGCUUGGCUGAAGAUGAUGUGGAAUGAGAAACAAAUGUCAACAUGAUAAGAUCUCGGUUUAAAAUGUUCUAAAAAUUCUAAACUUGGAGGCUGAGCAGUUCUGGGGGAGUAAGGGCAGAGAUGCUUGUUAGUUUAUACUUAAAGAACAUUUAAAACAUACACUUACCUGGUUGUAGCAAUGUUGUUCUAUUAACAGAUAACUAGAACUUACAUUCGCAUUUAUGUAAAGUGUGUAAAACCAGUGUAGUUCGCACAGUAGGCAGUCAGUAAAUUUUGAUUCCUCUUACCCCUCAGUAAGUUUGAUGUUUUUACCAUCUGCUUGUCUUUCUGACCUUGUUGAAUCAACCUAUGGACCAGAAUCUUAAUGAAAUGUUACUGUGGAAGAUUAUGAGAAAAUUGGUAUAUCAUGCAGAUAUCAUACAAAGUCUUGUAACGUAAAAAAUCCAGUUUUAUUAUUGCUUGUGCCUCAACUGUUUAAGUAAACAUUAAAGGGCUUGGAGAAAA